This 570-nucleotide ribosomal RNA is filed under the name Phomopsis sp. 40GP/S. Its description in RNAcentral is "eukaryotic LSU rRNA". The stretch from base 207 to 360 matches the Rfam family "5.8S ribosomal RNA". Lineage: Eukaryota; Fungi; Ascomycota; Sordariomycetes; Diaporthales; Diaporthaceae. The record is from RNAcentral.
CUCUCCGUUAGGGUACCUGCGGAGGGAUCAUUGCUGGAACGCGCCCUAGGCGCACCCAGAAACCCUUUGUGAACUUAUACCUUACUGUUGCCUCGGCGCAUGCUGGCCCCCUCGGGGCCCCCUGGAGACAGGGAGCAGGCACGCCGGCGGCCAAGUUAACUCUUGUUUUUACACUGAAACUCUGAGAAAAAACACAAAUGAAUCAAAACUUUCAACAACGGAUCUCUUGGUUCUGGCAUCGAUGAAGAACGCAGCGAAAUGCGAUAAGUAAUGUGAAUUGCAGAAUUCAGUGAAUCAUCGAAUCUUUGAACGCACAUUGCGCCCUCUGGUAUUCCGGAGGGCAUGCCUGUUCGAGCGUCAUUUCAACCCUCAAGCAUUGCUUGGUGUUGGGGCACUGCCUGUAAAAGGGCAGGCCCUGAAAUCUAGUGGCGAGCUCGCCAGGACCCCGAGCGCAGUAGUUAAACCCUCGCUUUGGAAGGCCCUGGCGGUGCCCUGCCGUUAAACCCCCAACUUUUGAAAAUUUGACCUCGGAUCAGGUAGGAAUACCCGCUGAACUUAAGCAUAUCAAAA